AAGAAGUUUUCAGCCUGCCUCUCGAAGCAUGCCGCCAAUACGCCCUACCCUUUUGGGCGACAGGAUAUUGAAGGCCCGGACAGGAAGUGAACGGAAACAUGAUUUUGACAUAUCUUACUAGUUUUUUGGAAUUCCGACACAAAUCUAAGUUCUAACAAAUAGCACGGUAUAAUAUAUGUUGGAAGGAAAACAGAAGGAUGCUUGCCGAAGAGCAAGAUGCAGAUAUUUGGGCAAGUUAGGUUUAAAAGAAUGCGAUACUAUUGUGGUGAAAAUGACAGAUCACAAAUGCAAAUAUGUGGCUUCUCUUCAAUCAC
RNAcentral lists this long non-coding RNA (314 nucleotides) under Musa acuminata (dwarf banana). RNAcentral describes it as "long non-coding RNA (MACU_LNC006415)". The record is from RNAcentral. Lineage: Eukaryota; Viridiplantae; Streptophyta; Magnoliopsida; Zingiberales; Musaceae.